RNAcentral lists this ribosomal RNA (468 nucleotides) under uncultured bacterium. Its description in RNAcentral is "partial 16S ribosomal RNA". It matches the Rfam family "Bacterial small subunit ribosomal RNA", at positions 28 to 507 of the family's 1533-position model. The record is from RNAcentral.
GACGAACGCUGGCGGCGCGCCUAACACAUGCAAGUCGAACGGAGCUGAGAGAAGCUUGCUUUUCUUAGCUUAGUGGCGAACGGGUGAGUAACGCGUGAGUAACCUGCCCUGGAGUGGGGGACAACAGUUGGAAACGACUGCUAAUACCGCAUAAGCCCACGAUCCGGCAUCGGAUUGAGGGAAAAGGAUUUAUUCGCUUCAGGAUGGACUCGCGUCCAAUUAGCUAGUUGGUGAGGUAACGGCCCACCAAGGCGACGAUUGGUAGCCGGACUGAGAGGUUGAACGGCCACAUUGGGACUGGGACACGGCCCAGACUCCUACGGGAGGCAGCAGUGGGGGAUAUUGCACAAUGGGGGAAACCCUGAUGCAGCGACGCCGCGUGGAGGAAGAAGGUUUUCGGAUUGUAAACUCCUGUCGUUAGGGACGAUAAUGACGGUACCUAACAAGAAAGCACCGGCUAACUACGUG